GUGGCGCAUAAGCAUUCAGGGAGACAAGGCACUUAGCACAGUUAGUGACAAACUGGGAGCACUCCACAAAUACCAACAAAUUACACAGACUGUGUGUGUGUGUGUGUGUGUGUAGUGUGGGUGUGUGGUGUUUUGUGGUGUUGUGUGGUGUGCGUAGUGUGUGUAGUAUGUGUGUAGUCUGUGUAGUGUGUGUGGUGUGUGUAUUGUGUGUGAGUAGUGUGUGUGUGGUGUGUGUAGUAUGUGUAGUAUAUGUGGUGUGUGUGUAGUGUAUGUGUGUGGUGUGUGUAGUAUAUGUGGUGUGUGUGUGGUGUAUGUGUAGUGUGUGUGGUGUAUGUGUAGUGUGUGUGGUGUGUGUAUAGUGUGUAUAGUGUGUAUAGUGUGUGCAUGGUGUGUAUGUGUGUGUGUGUGUGUGUAGUAUGUGUGUGUAUAUGUGGUGUGUGUGUAUAUGUGGUGUGUGUGUAUGUGUGGUGUGUGUGUGUAUGCAGUGUGUGUGUAGUGUGUAUGUGUAGUAUGUGGUGUGUGUGUGUGUGUGUGUAUAGUGUGUGUGUGUGCAGUUUGAUUGAGGGUCGGAGCCACACCUUGUCUGACUCCCGUCCACUCUGUAUUCUGUCCCCUGUUGAAAGAUCAAGUAGAAAAUCGCAGACAGAGAGUAAGAACAGGCCUGCGGUCUGCCCGAGGAAGGAGGCUGGAAUAGGGAGGCUGGCGAAGUGAUGGGAACUUUCGAUAAGGCAGAUGGCAGCGGGAACUGCAGACCAGGUGCCCCAGGGACCAGGCUCGCCAGCCAGCUCCCGGCAGCUCCCGGGUGGGAGGGCCCGAAGAGGGUGGCUCUAGGCAGCGUGUGGGGGCCGGGUGCUGCAGGUCCCCCUGGG
This 869-nucleotide long non-coding RNA is filed under the name Marmota monax (woodchuck). Lineage: Eukaryota; Metazoa; Chordata; Mammalia; Rodentia; Sciuridae. The record is from RNAcentral.